Long non-coding RNA from Bicyclus anynana (squinting bush brown), 2400 nucleotides. RefSeq lists it as uncharacterized. The transcript is spliced from 3 exons. NCBI's taxonomy places the organism in Eukaryota, Metazoa, Arthropoda, Insecta, Lepidoptera, Nymphalidae. The record is from RefSeq and is a predicted model, not a curated record.
GUAAUCUAUAUAAUACGAUUUGUUGUACUAGAACAAAAUGCUUGUGAUUGAAAAAAUAAACACAUAAAUAUUGCAUUAUUUUCGGGAGCCUGUUAGAGUUCUAGCAAUAUUUAUUGUAUUUAGCUUAUGAUUGGUUAACCUGAAUGUUAUGUUGUCUAUGGUACAUAAAAAUUUGAAAACAAAAACGUUAAAAUUCUUAGUGCGUAUCCAUAGACAGAAAAUAGAUCUUACUAAAUGUUCUCCAGCAGAUUUGUUUUGUGUUUGCCCCUUUGACACCUAUAUAUAAUGGACCUGUGGCAUUUUACGUCAAUAUUGGUCAAGGAUUUAAUUAAUGAUUUUAAACUUAUUUCGUGGUUGUUCAUUUAAUUUUUUAGAGAAUAAACAAAAUUUUUUCGUAACCUCUCUAACUUAAAGAAAGCUACCUUAAUGGAGCGAGAUAGAUAUUUUUUUAGUCAUUGCGUAAAGAGGUUAGACAUAUUUUACAUGACAACAUCAAUUAUGUCAUUUGUGACCAAAUUAUCUUUUGUUUUUGGUGACCCAAAAUGGCUAUUGUUGUGGUUCCGGUGCAACGGUAUUCGAAAUAUUACGGAAAUAAUAACCAAUAAGCUUGUGAAUCGCAAAAUAAAAUAAAUAUUAUACAAUGGUGAAGUGCGCAGUUGUUGCCUACACCAACAAAACCCAAACAAAACUAGCGGGAAUUUCAUUUACAAAAUUUAUCACCUGAGCAACAAGUAAGACAACCCUUGCAAGAAGUGAAUCUUAAUCUGUUAUCAGAGAGUCAUGACAAUGCUGUUUCCCAAAAUGGAAUACAAGAUAUAAUGGUUCCAUCUACUAAUCAGUCACUCAGUAGGUACACCAAACGUACGAAUAGUAACGGCUGGUUCAAUUAAGGACGUUUUGCUCGUAUUGUCAAAAACAUAUUUAAAAACUAAAAUUUUAUUGUAAUAACGUCUCAAAAAAAUAUUUAAAAAAAAUUUUGUCUACUAGAACGAUAAUCAAAUAUUUAAGACUAUUUAUAAAAAAGUGUCAACUAGUCUAUUACUUUUUGUUAUGUAUAACGUAUAACGUUGUAUCAAGAAUUGUAAGUUUGCAACUUCCAUAAAUAAAUUUUGUUGAUGAAUUACGAUUUUUAUUUCCUAUUGCCUUGAGGAUUCAGUGCAUAACCUGUGCGACUUGGAGAGUUUAGUAUUAGGCUGGUGGUCUAGGACAACAUCAUAUUCAUCUGAUAGUAAUCGUUACACAUUCAAGACAUAAACACAGGUCAACGUUCGUGAGUGCCAAUACAAAACAUUGUAUAGUUUAAAUAAUUUAUACUAUACAGUGUUUAUUAAAUACCACAGAGUAACCAGAGAGAGUUUUUACAAACUGCGUGCUGAAGCUGCUGCAACAAAACAUAAGUCACGCGUCUCCUUGACAUUUGCAUAUAAAAACAAUUAUGUAUAAUAAUCAAUAAAAAAAUACUCCAUCUUAUUUCCUUAGUUUUUGAGAACAGUUUUUAAAAUAUUUAGAAACAUAUGACGCCAUUUUUCUUGAAUAAUAUUGAAAAUUACUGAUGCGACGGUUCGUAUCGUACUGACAAGAGAACGUAUUCGUUUUUGAAUUUCAUAUUCGUAGCGGGUACGACACCGUCAUGUUCCGUACGCUCCAUCUGUAUAUUAUUGAUUAAUCUAUGUUAAAUACAAAACACUUUAAUGAGAAAAUCAAUUGUAUGGAAUUUUAUAUUAUAAUAAUGUAAGACAGAAUUUAAAAUGUUUCAUUUUAUUAAACAUAAUAUUUUGUAUAAUUUUAUAUCGAGUGCUUAAUUAUUAUCGAUAAAACAGCCCUAGCUCAGUUUGGUGACCAAACAUGGUUACCGGAAGCCUCAACGAAAAUUACUUGUCACAUAUCCUCUAUUAUUUAUGUAUCUAAGGUUUGCCCUUUUAUUACGUCCAAUCCAAGGUUUACCACUCAUUUGUUUUUUAUUAUUUCAUAAUAAAUAAUAUUUUUUUUACAAAGUGGCUUCCACGAAAAUAAAUUACUCCUACAUGUACUACAUACUCCUGACAUGACUCAGACGAAUUAUUGAUUAGAAUUAUUAUCGAUUACGAAUCAAGACAAAAUAAGAUGCAUAAAUAAAAAAAAAAUCCAGUCGGGGAUCGAACCCAGGACCUACGUCUUGUAAAUCCACCGCGCUUACCACUUCGCCACGGAGGCCCGCAAGAUGCAUAAUCAUACAUACCUAACCAUAAUGUAACCUGAUAAAUCAAUUCGCAAAAAAUCGAGAUUGAAAAUAUUGAUUUUAAAAAAUCUGUAUUUUUCAAGUUUGUAUACUUGUUUGCGCAAUGUAAUGUAAUUUCACUUUAUGAAAAAUAAGAUACAUAACCGUAACGUAACCUAUUAAUCUAAUUCACAAAAAAAAUC